AGAUGGCGGGGUAACGGCCCACCAUGGCGACGAUCAGUAGCCGGUCUGAGAGGGAUGAACGGCCACAUUGGGACUGAGAUACGGCCCAGACUCCUACGGGAGGCAGCAGUGGGGAAUAUUGGGCAAUGGGGGAAACCCUGACCCAGCAACGCCGCGUGAAGGAAGAAGGCCUUCGGGUUGUAAACUUCUUUUACCAGGGACGAAGAACGUGACGGUACCUGGAGAAAAAGCAACGGCUAACUACGUGUCAGCAGCCGCGGUAAUACGUAGGUUGCAAGCGUUGUCCGGAUUUACUGGGUGUAAAGGGCGUGUAGGCGGAGAUGCAAGUUGGGAGUGAAAUCCCGGGGCUCAACCCCGGAACUGCUUUCAAAACUGCAUCCCUUGAGUAUCGGAGAGGCAAGCGGAAUUCCUAGUGUAGCGGUGAAAUGCGUAGAUAUUAGGAGGAACACCAGUGGCGAAGGCGGCUUGCUGGACGACAACUGACGCUGAGGCGCGAAAGCGUGGGGAGCAAACAGGAUUAGAUACCCUGGUAGUCCACGCUGUAAACGAUGAAUACUAGGUGUGGGAGGACUGACCCCUUCCGUGCCGCAGUUAACACAAUAAGUAUUCCACCUGGGGAGUACGACCGCAAGGUUGAAACUCAAAGGAAUUGACGGGGGCCCGCACAAGCAGUGGAUUAUGUGGUUUAAUUCGAAGCAACGCGAAGAACCUUACCAGGUCUUGACAUCCCGAUGCCCGCUCCGUAAUGGGAGCUUUUCUUCGGAACAUCGGUGACAGGUGGUGCAUGGUUGUCGUCAGCUCGUGUCGUGAGAUGUUGGGUUAAGUCCCGCAACGAGCGCAACCCCUAUUUCCAGUAGCCAGCAGUAAGAUGGGAACUCUGGAGAGACUGCCGGGGAUAACCCGGAGGAAGGUGGGGACGACGUCAAAUCAUCAUGCCCCUUAUGAUCUGGGCUACACACGUGCUACAAUGGCGUUCACAAAGGGAAGCGAGACUGUGAAGUGGAGCAAACCCCAAAAAGGACGUCUCAGUUCGGAUUGUAGUCUGCAACUCGACUACAUGAAGCUGGAAUCGCUAGUAAUCGCGAAUCAGAAUGUCGCGGUGAAUACGUUCCCGGGUCUUGCACUCACCGCCCGUCA
RNAcentral lists this ribosomal RNA (1137 nucleotides) under uncultured bacterium. RNAcentral's name for it is "bacterial SSU rRNA". It matches the Rfam family "Bacterial small subunit ribosomal RNA", at positions 247 to 1399 of the family's 1533-position model. The record is from RNAcentral.